AAUCAACGCUGGCGGCGUGCCUCAGACAUGCAAGUCGAACGCGAAAGUCCCCUUCGGGGGAGUGAUUAGAGUGGCGCACGGGUGAGUAACACGUAGGUAAUCUACCUUCGAGUGGGGAAUAACUCAGGGAAACUUGAGCUAAUACCGCAUAAUGCAGCGGCACCACAUGGUGACAGUUGUUAAAGCAUUUAUGCGCUUGAAGAGGAGCCUGCGGCGGAUAGCUAGUUGGUAAGGUAAUGGCUUACCAAGGCUACGAUCUGUAACCGGCCUGAGAGGGCGGACGGUCACACUGACACUGAAUAACGGGUCAGACUCCUACGGGAGGCAGCAGUCGGGAAUUUUGGGCAA
Molecule: ribosomal RNA, 348 nt
Filed under: uncultured bacterium
Lineage: Bacteria
Description: bacterial SSU rRNA
Rfam family: Bacterial small subunit ribosomal RNA
Source: RNAcentral